RNAcentral lists this ribosomal RNA (113 nucleotides) under Octodon degus (degu). Lineage: Eukaryota; Metazoa; Chordata; Mammalia; Rodentia; Octodontidae. The record is from RNAcentral.
GUCUAUGGCCAUACCAUCCUUAAUAUGCCCGAUUUUGUCUGAUCUCAGAAGCUAAGCAGGGUUGGACCUAGUUAGUACUUGGAUGGGAGAAUCUGAAAUGACUGCCCUCAGCU